Molecule: ribosomal RNA, 818 nt
Filed under: Enterococcus faecalis
Lineage: Bacteria; Bacillati; Bacillota; Bacilli; Lactobacillales; Enterococcaceae
Description: partial 23S ribosomal RNA
Rfam family: Bacterial large subunit ribosomal RNA
Source: RNAcentral
GUUGAAGGAUUUGGAAAAUUCCGCUAAAGAGGGUGAAAGCCCCGUAGACGAAAUGCUAACAACACCUAGGAGGAUCCUGAGUACGGCGGAACACGAGAAAUUCCGUCGGAAUCCGCGGGGACCAUCCCGCAAGGCUAAAUACUCCCUAGUGACCGAUAGUGAACCAGUACCGUGAGGGAAAGGUGAAAAGCACCCCGGAAGGGGAGUGAAAUAGAUCCUGAAACCGUGUGCCUACAACAAGUCAAAGCUCGUUAAUGAGUGAUGGCGUGCCUUUUGUAGAAUGAACCGGCGAGUUACGAUUGCAUGCGAGGUUAAGUCGAAGAGACGGAGCCGCAGCGAAAGCGAGUCUGAAUAGGGCGAAUGAGUAUGUAGUCGUAGACCCGAAACCAUGUGAUCUACCCAUGUCCAGGUUGAAGGUGCGGUAAAACGCACUGGAGGACCGAACCCACGUACGUUGAAAAGUGCGGGGAUGAGGUGUGGGUAGCGGAGAAAUUCCAAACGAACUUGGAGAUAGCUGGUUCUCUCCGAAAUAGCUUUAGGGCUAGCCUCGGAAUUGAGAAUGAUGGAGGUAGAGCACUGUUUGGACUAGGGGCCCAUCUCGGGUUACCGAAUUCAGAUAAACUCCGAAUGCCAUUCAUUUAUAUCCGGGAGUCAGACUGCGAGUGAUAAGAUCCGUAGUCGAAAGGGAAACAGCCCAGACCACCAGCUAAGGUCCCAAAAUAUAUGUUAAGUGGAAAAGGAUGUGGGGUUGCACAGACAACUAGGAUGUUGGCUUAGAAGCAGCCACCAUUUAAAGAGUGCGUAAUAGCUCACUAGUC